Molecule: small nuclear RNA, 107 nt
Filed under: Ursus americanus (American black bear)
Lineage: Eukaryota; Metazoa; Chordata; Mammalia; Carnivora; Ursidae
Source: RNAcentral
CUGCUCACUUUGGCAGCACAUAUACUAAUACUGGGACGAUACAGAGAAGAUUAGCAUGGUCUCUGCACAAGGAUGACAGGCAAAUUCGUGAAGCAUUCCAUAUUUUA